RNAcentral lists this ribosomal RNA (253 nucleotides) under uncultured bacterium. RNAcentral describes it as "partial 16S ribosomal RNA". It matches the Rfam family "Bacterial small subunit ribosomal RNA", at positions 524 to 776 of the family's 1533-position model. The record is from RNAcentral.
UACGAGGGGUGCAAGUGUUGUUCGGAAUCACUGGGCGUAAAGGGAGCGUAGGCGGGAAACUAAGUCAGAUGUUUAAUUCCGAGGCCUAACCUCGGGUUUGCGUUUGAAACUGGUUUUCUUGAAUAGAAUAGAGGUAGAUGGAAUUCCCGGUGUAGCGGUGGAAUGCGUAGAUAUCGGGAGGAACACCAGUUGCGAAGGCGAUCUACUGGAUUCAUAUUGACGCUGAGGCUCGAAAGUGUGGGUAGCCAACAGG